AUUGUUUCUUGGCCUUUUGGCUAAGAUCAAGUGUAGUAUCUGUUCUUAUCAGUUUAAUAUCAGAUACGUCCUCUGAGGACAACAUAUUAAAUGGAUUUUUGGAACAGGAAGGUGGAAAAGGAGUUGGCUCUGUCUACUCCAUGCAUUGACUUUGUAGUGCAUUAUUUCUGGGAACACUGGUGCAGGGGGA
Small nuclear RNA from Monodelphis domestica (gray short-tailed opossum), 190 nucleotides. Its record names the gene U2. It matches the Rfam family "U2 spliceosomal RNA". From Rfam's summary of the family: U2 is a small nuclear RNA (snRNA) component of the spliceosome (involved in pre-mRNA splicing). NCBI's taxonomy places the organism in Eukaryota, Metazoa, Chordata, Mammalia, Didelphimorphia, Didelphidae. The record is from Ensembl.